UGCUGGGGCGACGGCACAUGUGCCCACAGAGAGGGCUCUGAGUGCCACCUCUGGCACGCGUGCCAUAGGUUCGCCAUCACUGUUAUAGGAUAUCUGUGUCAUGACCAUGUUGAAACAGGUCUGAGAAAAUGACCUGGAUGUGGCCACUGGGUGGAGCUGUUGUGGAAGUUAUUUACAGCUCUAGUGGCAGUUAUAUGUGUCAGCAUUUAAACAGUGCAUCAUUGGAAUGUUGGUGCAACUGCCAAAUGACAUUCUCAACUGUCACUAAGUCAGAGUAAGACAGUUGGUACCUCAGAGUGGGUUGUAACUAGUACGGAUGGUGUCAAUGUAUAUAUUGUUGUACACAAUGGAACUUCUUCUAAGAAUAAAAGCCUCAUCUGAGAGAAAUUUACAAUGUCUCUUUGCUCAUUGAGAAAGCGACAAGUGUUUCUCCAGCUCACAAGCUGCUGACUAAAGUCACGAAGGUGGAAAAUCUGGUGCCAAACGUUGACAUAUUGCUUCACGCACUGCACAGCAUCAAAAGCAUUUUAACAAUCUGAACUAAAGCAUUCAAAUGGUUUUAAUGUACUCUGAACUUUUUUUGAAAAACAACCCAUCUUAUUCGCCCAAGCAAUAGUUUUAAUGUAAGUAGUAAAGAAGUUUAAUCCUGAUACAACAUAAUGAGCAUAGAACAGAUAAAAAUAUAUCCUCAUAAGGUGCAUAUUUCUUGAUGCUUGUGCAUGAGAUUUCUAGCUCUGCUGUGAAGACAACCUGUAUCUGAUACUAGAUAAAGAAUAAAAAGUUUGAAAACUGUUGGAAGUAUUCAAACAUCCACAGGACUCAGUGCCAACACACAGGUUGUACAGACCAGCAUCUAUGGCUGGCCUGGGGUGGAUUUGGGUUGUGGCGUCUACACAAUGCACACCCCAACUCUGCCCACAGGCCAGCAUGAUGCCACACAACACCACAUGGUGCGUGGCGUCAUGGCAGUCCUCUGGCGUUUCAUAAAAGCUGUGGCACUGGCAGCUACGGCACCCUUUCCACAAUGGAGAAAGGAGCCACUUUUUGCAGCUCCUUUUUGCAUUGUGGAAAGGCAAGAUCAGGGCCAUGGAGUGCGGUUGCCCUGGCCCUGAUCUGGCUCUAAAAGGGAUGGCUGCAGGCUUCCCUUUUGGGGCAGUCUGUACAGCCCCUCAAUUAUCUGUUUGUCUGGUUCCUGCAUAUUAUCUCCUGAGCAAGAAGAUGGGUCUUCUUCCAAAUUAGUUUGAGUAGUUUGAGAAGUUAUAUUUAUGUCAUUUAUUUAUUUUAUAAUAGGAUUUGAUCCUGGUUGGAGAUUUUGUCUCAAGCCUGUGUUGGAUUCCUGUGUGUCAGGAGUCUUGCUGGUAAAUUGGGUUCUGCCCGAGUAAUAAAAAAUGUUACCUUUUCCAGCAUUAUUACUGCACACCUGAGUUUCUUUGUCUUUUUUUCUUCCAAGGUGUUUUUGUUGGUGUCCUAGUUCUGGCUGCAGUCAUUUUUGGACUUACUAAAUGGAAACCUUGGCUUAAAAAGGGGAAAAGUAGCUCUCAUUCUAACUCUACGGAUUCUUACAACCCAGUGCCAGGUAAAGAUGUAGUACUGCAAGAAGAAUCAAGACCCUGAUGUGUUUGCACUGGUUUUCUGAAGUAAACUCCAGUGACCUCCAGCUUCCAGCUGAUGAAUAACUGUCAGUUAUUCCCAUGAGAAGUGGAAAUGGGAAUUUAGUGAAAACAUUUAGUGAAGCCAUUUACAAAAUUACUGAUAUUGGCUAUGGCAAUUAAAACAUUUGGAUUAUGAAAGGAUGUUUGGACUUAGCAAAUACUUUGUUCUUUGCACACAGUGCUUCUAUAUAGAACUGUUCAGCACUUCUGCUCUUAUAGAAUGUCUCUGCUUCCAGAAUCCAAUAUAGGAUUUGGGAAAGGGGAUCUCUUGCCAGAAAAUGAUGCUUUAACUUGCCUUAAAUAAACGAAGACACUGUAAUGCAAAUGUCAUGGGAUCUUGCUAGGAUAUAUAGAAGAUUACCUAUUAACAUGAUUGUGCAUUUCUUUCCUCAAGCUUCUAUUCUGUAUACUUCCUCUUAAUAGAAAUGUAGCCUUUGAAGUCCAUACUUCUGAAUUCCUCAGGAUUUCUCAUACAGAGCCAUAAGUAAACCACUCUGGCUUCCCUCUUGUGGUUUUUAAAAUAUGCAGGGAAGAAUAUGUGCUUAAUAUAAAUUAAGGGCCUUAUUGCAUUUCAAAAGAAAGACAAAAAGCAGCGAGAUGGAAAUGGCUUCUGGUUUACCUUUCUGCAUGAUAUCAUAAUAAUUCCAGGAGGAGCCAGUCAUAAACUCAUAGCUUUUGUCAAACAGAUUUUUCCAGCAGGACAAAAGCUCAACAUUUACAAUCACCUCCUCGGUGAUAGAUCGGAAGUGCUUCAUAGACAUGUAGGAAGGUGAGUCAGAAACUGCUUCUGUCUUGCUGCCUUUCAUCUUUCUUUUGACAUCUGAUAAGGCCCCGAUACAUGUUGUGUGUUUUAAUAAGCAACAAAAGUUAGGUAUACUUAAUAAACCAAGACAAGUUUUAGAUCACAAAAUUUAUUGACUUUGGGGGCUCUUCCAAACUGGUCUAAACUUAGAAGUAUGAGUUCUCACAGUAUAGCUCCACAUGUUUUGCUAUUUGUUGUUUCCCCAGUCACUCGCUCCCUGCAUUUGCAAAGUUGUUUUGCAGGGUUCUUGGAUCUGCAGUGGGGUACUUCCAAACAUUUUUUUAAAAAACUGGAGUGUUAUUUGCUGAAGUAUUCCAUUGUUUUGAAGGGCUCAUUUUCUACUUCUCUUUUUUUAAUUCUUAAGAGUACAAAAGUGCUAUUUCACCAAUGCAUAAUUACUUUUUAAAUUUUAAAAAGAGAGAAAACAGAACAAUACUUUUGUUGUUAUUCUAAUAUGUCUUGGAAUUAAAAAGAAAUCAACUUGAGGGUGGGAAUAAAUUGUUUGCAGCUGAUGCCAGAAAUUGCCAGAUAAUUUAUGUGUGACAAUAGAAACAACAUUUUAUUACUUUAAAACAACCCUCCUUUCCCUGCCUCUUGGAACUACAGCAACAAAUGCUGCAACCAUCCAACACAUUUAUAUAUUCUGGAGGAGUCCUGAAUUGGAUAACCUAACUUGCUUUCUUAAUUCAUACCAAAAAUGCAUAAAGAGGCUGAGCCAAAGAUUGUUAAAUUCAAGAAUGUGUGUUUGGAAGUAAUGUCAUGAUUGUAAAAUUCAUAUUGAAUUGUAUAAUCUUUUGUUUAGUUAAAUGAAGGAUGUACAGACAGUAAACUUUAUCUGAAAGUAUUUGUCAAAAUAAUUAUAUAUUGAAUAAAAUUGUCCAACCAUGAAGGGUAA
Molecule: long non-coding RNA, 3349 nt
Organism: Sceloporus undulatus (fence lizard)
Lineage: Eukaryota; Metazoa; Chordata; Lepidosauria; Squamata; Phrynosomatidae
Exons: 2
Source: RefSeq, a predicted model, not a curated record